This 493-nucleotide ribosomal RNA is filed under the name uncultured bacterium. RNAcentral describes it as "partial 16S ribosomal RNA". It matches the Rfam family "Bacterial small subunit ribosomal RNA", at positions 29 to 523 of the family's 1533-position model. The record is from RNAcentral.
AUUGAACGCUGGCGGCAUGCUUUACACAUGCAAGUCGAACGGUAACAGGUUAAGCUGACGAGUGGCGAACGGGUGAGUAAUGCAUCGGAACGUGCCCGAUCGUGGGGGAUAACGCAGCGAAAGCUGCGCUAAUACCGCAUACGAUCUGAGGAUGAAAGCGGGGGACCGUAAGGCCUCGCGCAAUCGGAGCGGCCGAUGUCAGAUUAGGUAGUUGGUGGGGUAAAGGCUCACCAAGCCGACGAUCUGUAGCUGGUCUGAGAGGACGACCAGCCACACUGGGACUGAGACACGGCCCAGAAUCCUACGGGAGGCAGCAGUGGGGAAUUUUGGACAAUGGGCGAAAGCCUGAUCCAGCAAUGCCGCGUGCAGGAAGAAGGCCUUCGGGUUGUAAACUGCUUUUGUACGGAGCGAAAAGGCUCUCUCUAAUACAGGGGGCUCAUGACGGUACCGUAAGAAUAAGCACCGGCUAACUACGUGCCAGCCGCCGCGGUAA